AGUGAACGCUGGCGGUAGGCCUAACACAUGCAAGUCGAACGGCAGCACAGUAAGAGCUUGCUCUUACGGGUGGCGAGUGGCGGACGGGUGAGGAAUACAUCGGAAUCUACUUUUUCGUGGGGGAUAACGUAGGGAAACUUACGCUAAUACCGCAUACGACCUACGGGUGAAAGCAGGGGAUCUUCGGACCUUGCGCGAUUGAAUGAGCCGAUGUCGGAUUAGCUAGUUGGCGGGGUAAAGGCCCACCAAGGCGACGAUCCGUAGCUGGUCUGAGAGGAUGAUCAGCCACACUGGAACUGAGACACGGUCCAGACUCCUACGGGAGGCAGCAGUGGGGAAUAUUGGACAAUGGGCGCAAGCCUGAUCCAGCCAUACCGCGUGGGUGAAUAAGGCCUUCGGGUUGUAAAGCCCUUUUGUUGGGAAAGAAAAGCAGCAGGUUAAUACCCCGCUGUUCUGACGGUACCCAAAGAAUAAGCACCGGCUAACUUCGUG
Molecule: ribosomal RNA, 492 nt
Filed under: uncultured bacterium
Lineage: Bacteria
Description: partial 16S ribosomal RNA
Rfam family: Bacterial small subunit ribosomal RNA
Source: RNAcentral